GGUUCUGUAGUGAAAGUUCAUGUUGGGUUGCAAACCCUUCGAUGCGUAUUAAAAUUACGCCGGAAUCU
This 68-nucleotide transfer RNA is filed under the name Apaloderma narina. RNAcentral's name for it is "tRNA-Cys". The record is from RNAcentral. Lineage: Eukaryota; Metazoa; Chordata; Aves; Trogoniformes; Trogonidae.